CUACGGGACGCUCCAGUGGGGAAUAUUGCACAAUGGGGGAAACCCUGAUGCAGCAACGCCGCGUGGAGGAUGACGCAUUUCGGUGUGUAAACUCCUUUUAUAUCCCAAGAUAAUGACGGUAGGAUAUGAAUAAGCACCGGCUAACUCCGUGCCAGCAGCCGCGGUAAUACGGAGGGUGCAAGCGUUACUCGGAAUCACUGGGCGUAAAGGGCGCGUAGGCGGGUUGUCAAGUCUUGAGUGAAAUCCAACGGCUCAACCGUUGAACUGCUUGAGAAACUGGCAGCCUAGAGUGAGGGAGAGGUAGAUGGAAUUGGUGGUGUAGGGGUAAAAUCCGUAGAGAUCACCAGGAAUACCCAUUGCGAAGGCGAUCUGCUGGAACUCUACUGACGCUGAGACGCGAAAGCGUGGGGAGCAAACAGGAUUAGAUACCCCCGUAGUC
RNAcentral lists this ribosomal RNA (439 nucleotides) under uncultured bacterium. RNAcentral describes it as "partial 16S ribosomal RNA". It matches the Rfam family "Bacterial small subunit ribosomal RNA", at positions 339 to 795 of the family's 1533-position model. The record is from RNAcentral.